Molecule: ribosomal RNA, 253 nt
Filed under: uncultured bacterium
Lineage: Bacteria
Description: partial 16S ribosomal RNA
Rfam family: Bacterial small subunit ribosomal RNA
Source: RNAcentral
UACGUAGGGUGCAGGCGUUAAUCGGAAUUACUGGGCGUAAAGCGUGCGCAGGCGGUCUUUUAAGUCAGAUGUGAAAUCCCCGGGCUUAACCUGGGAACUGCGUUUGAAACUGGAAGGCUUGAGUGUGGCAGAGGGGGGUGGAAUUCCACGUGUAGCAGUGAAAUGCGUAGAGAUGUGGAGGAACACCGAUGGCGAAGGCAGCCUUCUGGGCCAACACUGACGCUCAUGCACGAAAGCGUGGGGAGCAAACAGG